RNAcentral lists this long non-coding RNA (510 nucleotides) under Equus caballus (horse). RNAcentral's name for it is "lncRNA (ENSECAG00000055027.1)". Lineage: Eukaryota; Metazoa; Chordata; Mammalia; Perissodactyla; Equidae. The record is from RNAcentral.
GUGUCUGGAACAGCAGUAGGCCCACUGGAACCUCCACCGACAUGGUUGAGGAUAAUCUACUCACUGAGGAGUUACGGCAGCCUGCAAAGCCCUUUCCCGGGACGCUCCAUGCCUGGAAGCAGGAAGGAGGUAGCAGAAGAGGACAAAGGGCUUUCCCCAGCCAUCGAUCCCCCGAGACUGAAUGCCUCCUUAGAUUUUGCACCAAAGGUGGCUCCCUUGCCUCGUCCUUGCAUCAGUCCUGUUAGAAGCAACUGCCCUGACCUUGCAAUCCUUGAAUAUCCUUUGUUCUUCAUACUAUGUUAUGGGCAACAGUGAGGUCCCCCACAUUUUGCCUCUGGUGGGCACUUCAUUCCAGGUGACCACGGGCCAUGACUGAAUCAGCUGGUUCACCACUGGCUGCAGCUCCAGAUUUCAAUCUGUGGAUCUGGUGGGAUUCUGAGGAACGACUUUACUGGUGUCAAACAUGUACACAUAUCUAUACAUAUGUAUGUCUAUCUGUGGGCACAUAUA